CCUACGGGAGGCUGCAGUAGGGAAUAUUGCUCAAUGGGGGAAACCCUGAAGCAGCAACGCCGCGUGGAGGAUGAAGGUUUUCGGAUUGUAAACUCCUUUUGUUAGAGAAGAUAAUGACGGUAUCUAACGAAUAAGCACCGGCUAACUCCGUGCCAGCAGCCGCGGUAAUACGGAGGGUGCAAGCGUUACUCGGAAUCACUGGGCGUAAAGGGCGCGUAGGCGGGUUAGCAAGUCAGAUGUGAAAUCCUAUGGCUUAACCAUAGAACUGCAUUUGAAACUGUCAUUCUUGAGUAUAGGAGAGGUAGGUGGAAUUCUUGGUGUAGGGGUAAAAUCCGUAGAGAUCAAGAGGAAUACUCAUUGCGAAGGCGACCUGCUAGACCAUAACUGACGCUGAUGCGCGAAAGCGUGGGGAGCAAACAGGAUUAGAUACCCCUGUAGUC
RNAcentral lists this ribosomal RNA (440 nucleotides) under uncultured bacterium. Its description in RNAcentral is "partial 16S ribosomal RNA". It matches the Rfam family "Bacterial small subunit ribosomal RNA", at positions 338 to 795 of the family's 1533-position model. The record is from RNAcentral.